CCUUUCUUCUUCUUCUUCUUCUUCUAUUCCAAGCAUUUUUUUUCUCCUUUGAUCUUUUCUCACAAGUCUUCAUCAACAACUGUGUCACCGCCGUCGGAAGCAGCGAACUCCGGGCACCAUUUUGAUUCUGUUUGAUCAAAUACAAUAUGAGUGCUGGUGCCUAACAAUAUGCGCUUGAUGCUCUUGAGCAAGUUGAUAAAGUAUUCAACCUUAAAUGACAAUUUUGGAGAGCUGAUUACUAUUCCAAAUAAUUCUGGUUAUUCUCGGUUGUUUUGGUUGCUGCCUUCUUGACUUCAUGCCAGUCUUGCGGUUUUGGAACUGCAGAUUUACUCCGGCCAGCCACCAUUUCCGGCAAGCCACGAUGUUUGUAAAGUUGUAUGGAAUUAAAAAUAGCAGACUCUUUUUGUUAUGAUUUUGAUGACAGUUGUGUUACUCUUUUGGCAAUGUGUUUAACCAGAUUAAGAUCAAGGUUCGAGACCUCAGGUGACGACAUGGAUCUUAAAAUACACACUCAAAUCAAUUUAGUAUGAAUUUUGAAUUUUCCCCUCUUAAUUUCAAUGUUGUGAUAUAAAUUCUAUUCUGAAUUUUUGUUAUUUUAUGUAUUUUUUGGUGGCAAUUGUCAAUAAUUCAUGUUUGAAAUAGUUUA
Molecule: long non-coding RNA, 646 nt
Organism: Erigeron canadensis
Lineage: Eukaryota; Viridiplantae; Streptophyta; Magnoliopsida; Asterales; Asteraceae
Exons: 4
Source: RefSeq, a predicted model, not a curated record